GACGAACGCUGGCGGCGUGCUUAAUACAUGCAAGUCAACUGAACUUAAGGUAGCAAUAUUUUAAGGGAGGUGGCGCACGGGUGAGUAACACGUAGGUAAUCUGCCUUUAGGUCUGACACAACCUACCGAAAGGUAGGCUAAUAUCAGAUGAUGCAGCGGCUCGACAUCGAGACAGUUGUUAAAACCUUCGGGGCCUAAAGAUGAGCCUGCGUCUGAUUAGGUAGUUGGCGGAGUAAUAGCCCACCAAGCCUGCGAUCAGUAGCUGGUCUGAGAGGAUGAUCAGCCACACUGGAACUGAGACACGGUCCAGACUCCUACGGGAGGCAGCAGUAAGGAAUAUUGCUCAAUGGCCGAAAGGCUGAAGCAGCAACGCCGCGUGGAGGAUGAAAUACUUUUGUAUGUAAACUCCUGUAA
RNAcentral lists this ribosomal RNA (414 nucleotides) under uncultured bacterium. Its description in RNAcentral is "bacterial SSU rRNA". It matches the Rfam family "Bacterial small subunit ribosomal RNA", at positions 28 to 438 of the family's 1533-position model. The record is from RNAcentral.